Molecule: ribosomal RNA, 66 nt
Filed under: Laribacter hongkongensis
Lineage: Bacteria; Pseudomonadati; Pseudomonadota; Betaproteobacteria; Neisseriales; Aquaspirillaceae
Description: partial 16S ribosomal RNA
Rfam family: Bacterial small subunit ribosomal RNA
Source: RNAcentral
GAACGAAAGAGUUUGAUCCUGGCUCAGAUUGAACGCUGGCGGCAUGCUUUACACAUGCAAGUCGAA